UAUAUGGUUGUAUGUAAAGACAGACCCACUAAUGAAGUAAUUAAGGUUAAAUGGAGUCAUAAGAGAGAGGCCCUAAUUCCAUAAGAUUAGUGUCCUUAUAAGAAGAGACUCCAGAGAACUCACUUUCUCACUCUCUCCCUCCCUUUCCUUGCAUACAAACCAAGGGAAAAUCAUAUGAGAACAUAGCAAGAAGGUAGCUGUCUGAAAGCCAGGAAGAGAGGCCUCAGCAGGAAAUGAAUCAGCAAGAACCUUGAUCUUGGACUUCUAGCCUCCAGAAUUGAAGGGAAUGGGGCCUUGGAAAGAUUAGUGAACUGGACCCCUGACAUGAUCUCUUCCUUCCAAUACUUACAAUAAACUACUGUUUAGUAUGGAGAAGAAAGACUAGUGGAUAUUGAAGAACUGGCAGAAUAAACACUUGCAUAGAUGGAAGAUGUACAGAGGAUGUAUGCGAUACAGGACUUUAAAGAAUGCUGACAUCUUUGUGGCUGAAAUUAAUUGGAAAUUUUAAAAAUGUCGAGUUGAUUUCUCAGAUGUUUUACUCACCGAUAAUAUGUGCUUUAUCCACGUCAGUGCACUUUUGCCAUAAAUUAUUGUUGUUAUCACUAUUAUUAUUUUACUUUGCCAAUCUGAAAUCCGUCCUGGAAUUUGGCACAUGUAUGGGAUAUGGAUAGAAAAUAAGAGCAAAGAGGAAUUCAAGAUAAUGAGGCAAUAUAAACAAAAGUUGAAAAGAGAAAAUGAGCAUGCAGUGCCUAGAGAUGCCAAGGAAUCCAGAUCACUGAGGUCGGAUAGAUGUGUCUUUCCAGAAUUUGAUGAGGUUAACCAGGUAGAGCCAGAUGGUAGAGAUCCUUGAAUACCAGGCAAGGGAGUUCAUCUCUCCACCUGUAAGCAUGAAGGAGCCACGGGAGAUUUUGCAAAGGGAAUGACCAAAACGAAAAUGGCAUUUAGGAAAUGAGUUUGCCAGAAGUACCUGGGAGAAAUGGGGACUAGGCACUGAGAAUGUAAUUCAUAGCACAGCAGAACAGAUACUAAAAGAUCGUUCUGGAAGCAGAAGGGCUGGUUUCCAGCUUUUCUGAGGUUGUUUCACUGUGGGUAACUGCUAAGGCCUUCACCCU
This 1112-nucleotide long non-coding RNA is filed under the name Homo sapiens (human). Its description in RNAcentral is "long non-coding RNA NONHSAT189662.1". Lineage: Eukaryota; Metazoa; Chordata; Mammalia; Primates; Hominidae. The record is from RNAcentral.